This 4232-nucleotide long non-coding RNA is filed under the name Capsicum annuum. Its description in RNAcentral is "long non-coding RNA (CANN_LNC020445)". Lineage: Eukaryota; Viridiplantae; Streptophyta; Magnoliopsida; Solanales; Solanaceae. The record is from RNAcentral.
UGUCAAAACAAAACCACAUUCCAAAACAAAAAUCCCUUCUAAAAGUCCACAAACUUAACCAUUUUUGAGCAUCUACGUGUCAAAACAAAACCACAUUCCAAAUCAAAAAUCUCUUUUAAAGUCCGUAGACCUAACACUUUUUAAUCAAGUGUCAAAACAAAACCACAUUCCAAAUCAAAAAUCCCUUCUAAAGUACCUAAACUUAACCAUUUUCAACCAACCAAGUCACCUAAAAAAACCAUAUUCCAAAAAAGAAAUCCCUUCUAAAGUCUGUAAACUUAACCAUUUUCGAGCAUCUAAGUGUCAAAAUAAAAUCACAUUCCAAAACAAAUAUCUCUUUUAAAGUCCCUAAACCUAACACUUUUUAUCCAAGUGUCAAAACAAAACCACAUUCCAAAAUAAAAAUCCCUUCUAAAGUCCCUAAACUUAACCAUUUUCAACCAACCAAGUCACCUAACAAAACCGCAUUCCAAAACAUAAUCCCCUUCUAAAGUCCCUAAACUUAACCAUUUUCGAGCAUCUAAGUAUCAAAACAAAACCACAUUCCAAAAUAAAAAUUCAUUUUAAAGUCCCUAAACUUAACCAUUUUCAACCAACCAAGUCACCUAACAAAACCACAUUCCAAAACAAAAUACCCUUCUAAAGUCCCUAAACUUAACCAUUUUCAAGCAUCUAAGUGUCAAAACAAAACCACAUUUCAAACAAAAAUUCAUUUUAAAGUUCCUAAACUUAACCAUUUUCAACAAACCAAGUCACCGAACAAAACCACAUUCCAAAACAAAAUAACCUUCUAAAGUCCCUAAACUUAACCAUUUUCGAGCAUCUAAGUGUCAAAACAAAACCACAUUCCAAAACAAAAAUCCAUUUUAAAGUCCCUAAACUUAACUAUUUUCAACCAACCAAGUCAACUAACCAAACCACAUUCCAAAACACAAAUCUCUUCUAAAGUCCGUAAACUUAACAAUUUUAGAGCAUCUAAGUGUCAAAACAAAACCACAUUCCAAAAUAAAAAUCCCUUUUAAAGUCCCUAAACUUAACCAUUUUCAACCAACCAAGUCACCUAACAAAACCACAUUCCAAAAUAAAAAUCUCUUCUAAAGUCCUUAAAUUUAACCAUUUUCAAGCAUCUAAGUGUCAAAACAAAACCACAUUCCAAAACCAAAAUUCAUUUUAAAGUCCCUAAAUUUAACCAUUGUCAACCAACCAAGUCACCUAACAAAAACACAUUCCAAAACAAAAAUCUCUUCUAAAGUCCCUAACUUAACCAUUUCCGAGCAUCGAAUUGUCAAAAAAAAACCACAUUCCAAAACAAAAUCCCUUCUAAAGUCCACAAACUUAACCAUUUUCGAGCAUCUAAGUGUCAAAAUAAAACCACAUUUCAAAUCAAAAAUCUCUUUUAAAGUCCCUAAACCUAACACCUUUGAACCAAGUGUUAAAACAAAACCACAUUCCAAAACAAAAAUCCCUUCAAAAGUCCCUAAACUAUUUUCAACCAACCAAGUAACCUAACAAAACCACAUUCCAAAACAAAAUACCCCUCUAAAGUCCCUAAACUUAACCAUUUUCGAGCAUCUCAGUGUUAAAACAAAACCACAUUACCAAAAAAAAAAUCCCUUCUAAAGUCCGUAAGCUUAACCAUUUUCGAGCAUCUAAGUGUCAAAAUAAAAUCACAUUCCAAAACAAAAAUCUGUUUUAAAGUCCGUAAACCUAAAACUUUCUAUCCAAGUGUCAAAACAAAGCCACAUUCCAAAACAAAAAUCCCUUCUAAAGUCCCUAAACUUAACCAUUUUCAACCAACCAAGUCGCCUAACAAAACCACAAUCCAAAACAUAAUCCUCUUCUAAAGUCCCUAAACUUAACCAUUUUCGAGCAUCUAAGUGUCAAAACAAAACCACAUUCCAAAACAAAAAUUCAUUUUAAAGUCCCUAAACUUAACCAUUUUCAACCAACCAAGUCACCUAACAAAACCACAUUCCAAAACAAAAUCUCCUUCUAAAGUCCCUUAACUAUUUUCGAGCAUCUAAGUGUCAAAACAAAACCACAUUCCAAAACAAAAAUCCCUUCUAAAGUCCACAAACUUAACCAUUUUCGAGCAUUUAAGUGUCAAAAUAAAACCACAUUCCAAAAUAAAAAUCUAUUUUAAAGUCCCUAAACUUAACUAUUUUCGGACAAGUAAGUGUCAAAACAAAACAACAUUCCAAAACAAAAAUCCCUUCUAUAGUCCACAAACUUAACCAUUUUCGAGCAUCUAAGUGUCAAAACAAAACCACAUUCCAAAAUAAAAAUCCAUUUUAAAGUCCCUAAACUUAACCAUUUUCAACCAACCAAGUCACCUAACCAAACCACAUUCCAAAACAAAAAUCACUUCUAAAGUCCGUAAACUUAACCAUUUUCGAGAAUCAAAGUGUCAAAACAAAACCACAUUCAAAAAUAAAAAUCCCUUUUAAAGUCCCUAAACUUAACCAUUUCCAACCAACCAAGUCACCUAACAAAACCACAUUCCAAAAUAAAAAUCUCUUCUAAAGUUCUUAAACUUAACCAUUUUCGAGCAUCUAAGCGUCAAAAUAAAACCACAUUCCAAAACAAAAAUCCCUUUUAAAGUCCCUUAACUUAACCAUUUUCAACCAACCAAGUCACCCAACAAAACCACAUUCCAAAAUAAAAAUCUCCUCUAAAGUCCAUAAACUUAACCAUUUCCGAGCAUCUAAGUGUCAAAACAAAACCACAUUCCAAAACAAAAAUCCCUUCUAAAGUUCACAAAUUGAACCAUUUUCGAGCAUCUAAGUGUCAAAACGAAACAACAUUCCAUAUCAAAAAUCUCUUUUAUAGACCCUAAACCUAACACUUUUUAACCAAGUGUCAAAACAAAACCACAUUCCAAAACAAAAAUCCCUUCUAAAGUCCCUAAACUUAACAAUUUUCAACCAACCAAGUCACCUAACAAAACCACAUUCCAAAACAAAAUACCCUUCAAAAGUCCCUAAACUUAACCAUUUUGGAGCAUCUCUGUGUCAAAACAAAAUUUCAUUACAAAAAAAAAUCCCUUCUAAAGUCCGUAAACUUAACCAUUUUCGAGCAUCUAAGUGUCAAAAUAAAAUCACAUUUCAGAACAAAAAUCUCUUUUAAAGUCUCUAAACCUAACACUUUUUAUCCAAGUGUCAAAACAAAACCACAUUCCAAAACAAAAAUCCCUUCUAAAGUCCCUAAACUUAACCAUUUUCAACCAACCAAGUCACCUAACAAAACCCUAUUCCAAAACAUAAUCCCCUUCUAAAGUCCCUAAACUUAACCAUUUUCGAGCAUCUAAGUGUCAAAACAAAACCACAUUCCAAAACAAAAAAUUAUUUUAAAGUCCCUAAACUUAACCAUUUUCAACCAACCAAGUCACCUAACAAAACCCUAUUCCAAAACAUAAUCCCCUUCUAAAGUCCCUAAACUUAACCAUUUUCGAGCAUCUAAGUGUCAAAACAAAACCACAUUCCAAAAAGAAAUCCCUUCUAAAGUCCGUACACUUAACCAUUAUCGAGCAUCCAAGUGUCAAAACAAAAUCACAUUCCAAAACAAAAAUCUCUUUUAAAGUCCCUAAACCUAACACUUUUUUUCCAAGUAUCAUAACAAAAGCACAUUUCCAAACAAAAAUCCCUUCUAAAGUCCCUAAACUUAACCAUUUUCAACCAACCAAGUCACCAAACAAAACCACAUUCCAAAACAUAAUGCCUUUCUAAAGUCCCUAAACUUAACCAUUUUCGAGCAUCUAAGUGUCAAAAGAAAAUCACAUUCCAAAACAAAAAUCCAUUUUAAAAUUCCUAAACUUAACCAUUUUCUACCAACCAAGUCACCUAACAAAACCACAUUCCAAAACAAAAUCUCCUUCUAAAGUCCCUAAACUUAACCAUUUUCGAGCAUCUAUGUGUCAAAACAAAACCACAUUCUAAAACCAAAAUCCAUUUUAAAGUUCCUAAACUUAACCAUUUUCAACCGACCAAGUCACCUAACAAAAUCACAUUCCAAAACAAAAUCCCCUUCUAAAAUCCCUAAACUUAACCAUUUUCGAGCAUCUAAGUAUCAAAACAAAACCACAUUCCAAAACAAAAAUCCAUUUUAAAAUCCCUAAACUUAACUAUUUUCAACCAACUAAGUCGCCUAACAAAACCACAUUACAAAACAAAAUCCCCUUCUAAAGUCCCUAAACUUAACCAUUUUCAAGCAUCUAAGUGUCAAAACGAAACCAC